Molecule: ribosomal RNA, 253 nt
Filed under: uncultured bacterium
Lineage: Bacteria
Description: partial 16S ribosomal RNA
Rfam family: Bacterial small subunit ribosomal RNA
Source: RNAcentral
UACGGGGGGGGUAAGCGUUGUUCGGAAUUACUGGGCGUAAAGGGCUCGUAGGCGGCCAACUAAGUCAGACGUGAAAUCCCUCAGCUUAACUGGGGAACUGCGUCUGAUACUGGAUGGCUUGGAUUUGGGAGAGGGAUGCGGAAUUCCGGGUGUAGCGGUGAAAUGCGUAGAUAUCCGGAGGAACACCGGUGGCGAAGGCGGCUUCCUGGACCGACACUGACGCUGAGGCGCGAAAGCUAGGGGAGCAAACGGG